RNAcentral lists this ribosomal RNA (951 nucleotides) under Deltaproteobacteria bacterium. RNAcentral's name for it is "bacterial LSU rRNA". It matches the Rfam family "Bacterial large subunit ribosomal RNA", at positions 1 to 880 of the family's 2925-position model. The record is from RNAcentral. Lineage: Bacteria; Pseudomonadati; Myxococcota; Myxococcia.
UUUUGUGAUCAAGUUACAAAGGGCGUACGGAGGAUGGCUUGGUACAGAUAGGCGAUGAAGGACGUGGUAAGCUGCGAUAAGCUGCGGUGAGUUGCAAACAUACGUUGACCCGCAGGUGUCCGAAUGGGGGAACCCAUCCCGCGUUAUGGCGGGAUACCUCAAUGUGAAUAUAUAGCAUUGUAGGAGCGAAACCAGGAGAACUGAAACAUCUAAGUAUCCUGAGGAAAAGAAAGCAAUUGCGAUUUCCUAAGUAGCGGCGAGCGAACGGGAAAUAGCCCAAACUGAGUAUGUGUAAGCCUGUAUGCGUUGCAUAUUCAGGGUUGUAGGAUUUAAUCUGGCUAAUAUACAGAUCAGCCGCCUGAUGUAUUUUUAUAGAUGAAUAAGUUGGGAAACUUAACCAUAGAAGGUGAGAGUCCUGUAAUUUAAAUAAAGAUAUUUUGGGUGGAUUAAAUUCCUGAGUACUACGGGACACGUGGAACCCCGUAGGAAUCUGCCUCGACCACGAGGCAAGGCUAAAUACUAAUCUGUGACCGAUAGUGAACAAGUACCGUGAGGGAAAGCUGAAAAGAACGCCGGUGAGGCGAGUGAAAUAGUACCUGAAACCGUAACGCCUACAAACUGUAGAAGGCCUAUGUUUACCAUAUCUUAUGGUAAAAAUGGCUAACUGCGUACCUUUUGCAUAAUGGUCCGGCGAGUUGUUGUAUAAUGCAAGCUUAAUUCGUUUAAACGAAGAAGGCGUAGCGAAAGCGAGUCUUAAAAGGGCGAUUUAGUAUUAUGUAACAGACCCGAAACUGAGUGAUCUACCCAUGGCCAGGAUGAAGGUCGUUUAAUCGCGACUGGAGGUCCGAACCUUUCUGCGUUGAAAAGCGGAGGGAUGAGCUGUGGGUCGGAGUGAAAGGCUAAUCAAACUCAGAGAUAGCUGGUUCUCCCCGAAAUAGCUUUAGGGCUAGC